RNAcentral lists this ribosomal RNA (485 nucleotides) under uncultured bacterium. RNAcentral describes it as "bacterial SSU rRNA". It matches the Rfam family "Bacterial small subunit ribosomal RNA", at positions 28 to 507 of the family's 1533-position model. The record is from RNAcentral.
GAUGAACGCUAGCGGCAGGCUUAAUACAUGCAAGUCGAGGGGCAGCACGAAUAGCAAUAUUUGGUGGCGACCGGCGCACGGGUGCGUAACACGUAUACAACCUACCUAUAACAGGGGGAUAGCCUUUCGAAAGAGAGAUUAAUACCCCGUAAUAAAUUGAGUGGCAUCACUUGAUUUUGAAAGCUACGGCGGUUAUAGAUGGGUAUGCGUCUGAUUAGCUAGUUGGUGAGGUAACGGCUCACCAAGGCGACGAUCAGUAGGGGGAUCUGAGAGGACUAACCCCCCACACUGGUACUGAGACACGGACCAGACUCCUACGGGAGGCAGCAGUAAGGAAUAUUGGUCAAUGGAGGCAACUCUGAACCAGCCAUGCCGCGUGCAGGAUGACGGCCCUAUGGGUUGUAAACUGCUUUUGUACCAGAGAAAACCUACUCACGUGUGAGUAGCUGAUAGUAUGGUAAGAAUAAGCAUCGGCUAACUUCGUG